GGUGGAGCGAUUUGUCUGGUUAAUUCCGAUAACGAACGAGACUCUGGCCUAUUAAAUAGACGGUAUAUUAAAAAGUAUACCGCACUUCUUAGAGGGACAAGCGGCGUCUAGUCGCGUGAAAAAGAGCAAUAACAGGUCUGUGAUGCCCUUAGAUGUCCGGGGCUGCACGCGCGCUACACUGAAAGAAUCAGUGUGCGUUUUACCUAGUUCGGAAGAACCGGGUAACCCAAGUAAAUUCUUUCGUGCUUGGGAUAGGGAAUUGCAAUUAUUUCCCUUAAACGAGGAAUUCCCAGUAAAUGCGGGUCAUAAGCUCGCGUUGAAUACGUCCCUGCCCUUUGUAC
Molecule: ribosomal RNA, 341 nt
Filed under: Nematoda environmental sample
Lineage: Eukaryota; Metazoa; Nematoda
Description: SSU rRNA
Rfam family: Eukaryotic small subunit ribosomal RNA
Source: RNAcentral